This 391-nucleotide long non-coding RNA is filed under the name Cottoperca gobio. RNAcentral describes it as "lncRNA (ENSCGOG00000003248.1)". The record is from RNAcentral. Lineage: Eukaryota; Metazoa; Chordata; Actinopteri; Perciformes; Bovichtidae.
GGACGGCUGGAUAGGAAUUGGCAAAAUUGCGGGAAAAAGGAGAAAAAACAAAACUCCAGCGUGAGAAGAAACUGGACUUCUCGCCAAACUCAGGCUCGCACUCUGUGGUCGCCUUUGAUUUUUGUUUUUGACAUGAUUUUUCAUCACUUCUCCGGUCACGCUCACAUUCAUCUGUUAAACCCUUGAGACAAGCUGAACCUUUUCAAUGAAGACGUGAUUUUUAUCAGGCCCGACACCAAGCACCUAAAGCCCUGGCAGUUUCAGACAGUGAGGGGAGGUGAGACGUGAGUAAUAGCAGUGACUGAUGAUGUCACAGACAGCAUCGCGCCGCUUCUGCUGCCCCCCUGACCCGGCUUUAGGAAGGCGGCAGCAGCGCGCAAGCAGCCGUGGG